UACGUAGGGAGCGAGCGUUAUCCGGAAUUAUUGGGUGUAAAGGGUGCGUAGACGGGAAAACAAGUUAGUUGUGAAAUCCCUCGGCUUAACUGAGGAACUGCAACUAAAACUAUUUUUCUUGAGUGCAGGAGAGGUAAGUGGAAUUCCUAGUGUAGCGGUGAAAUGCGUAGAUAUUAGGAGGAACACCAGUGGCGAAGGCGACUUACUGGACUGUAACUGACGUUGAGGCACGAAAGUGUGGGGAGCAAACAGG
Molecule: ribosomal RNA, 253 nt
Filed under: uncultured bacterium
Lineage: Bacteria
Description: partial 16S ribosomal RNA
Rfam family: Bacterial small subunit ribosomal RNA
Source: RNAcentral